This 66-nucleotide transfer RNA is filed under the name Drawida ghilarovi. Its description in RNAcentral is "tRNA-Ser". The record is from RNAcentral. Lineage: Eukaryota; Metazoa; Annelida; Clitellata; Moniligastrida; Moniligastridae.
AGCUUAAUGUUUUGGAAACUGUAAACCUUGAAAGUUUAUAACAGGUGUUCGACUCCCCUUUUAGCU